Molecule: ribosomal RNA, 443 nt
Filed under: uncultured bacterium
Lineage: Bacteria
Description: partial 16S ribosomal RNA
Rfam family: Bacterial small subunit ribosomal RNA
Source: RNAcentral
CCUACGGGGGGCAGCAGUGGGGAAUAUUGGACAAUGGGGGGAACCCUGAUCCAGCGACGCCGCGUGAGUGAAGAAGUAUUUCGGUAUGUAAAGCUCUAUCAGCAGGGAAGAAAGAAAUGACGGUACCUGACUAAGAAGCCCCGGCUAACUACGUGCCAGCAGCCGCGUGAAUACGUAGGGGGCAAGCGUUAUCCGGAUUUACUGGGUGAAAAGGGAGCGUAGACGGCGAGGCAAGUCUGAAGUGAAAGGCGGGGGCCCAACCGGGGCCUUGCAGCGGGAACGGGCGUGCUUGAGUCCGCGGAAGGCAGGCGGAAGUCGUAGUGUAGCGGUGAAAUGCUUAGAUAUGACGAAGAACCCCAAUUGCGAAGGCAGCUUGCUGCAGGGGAACUGACGCUGAGGCUCGAAAGCGCGGGUAUCGAACAGGAUUAGAUACCCUUGUAGUC